UGGGGAAUAUUGGACAAUGGGCGCAAGCCUGAUCCAGCCAUGCCGCGUGAGUGAUGAAGGCCCUAGGGUUGUAAAGCUCUUUCACCGGUGAAGAUAAUGACGGUAACCGGAGAAGAAGCCCCGGCUAACUUCGUGCCAGCAGCCGCGGUAAUACGAAGGGGGCUAGCGUUGUUCGGAUUUACUGGGCGUAAAGCGCACGUAGGCGGACUUUUAAGUCAGGGGUGAAAUCCCGGGGCUCAACCCCGGAACUGCCUUUGAUACUGGAAGUCUUGAGUAUGGUAGAGGUGGGUGGAAUUCCGAGUGUAGAGGUGAAAUUCGUAGAUAUUCGGAGGAACACCAGUGGCGAAGGCGGCUCACUGAACCAUUAAUGACGCUGAGGUGCGAAAGCGUGGGGAGCAAACAGG
RNAcentral lists this ribosomal RNA (404 nucleotides) under Actinomycetes bacterium. RNAcentral's name for it is "Actinobacteria bacterium partial 16S ribosomal RNA". It matches the Rfam family "Bacterial small subunit ribosomal RNA", at positions 355 to 776 of the family's 1533-position model. The record is from RNAcentral. Lineage: Bacteria; Bacillati; Actinomycetota; Actinomycetes.